RNAcentral lists this long non-coding RNA (1140 nucleotides) under Bos indicus x Bos taurus (hybrid cattle). RNAcentral describes it as "lncRNA (ENSBIXG00005011655.1)". The record is from RNAcentral. Lineage: Eukaryota; Metazoa; Chordata; Mammalia; Artiodactyla; Bovidae.
AUGGCAAAUUUAAUGUUGUGUUUUUUACCACAAUUUAAUAAUGUCCCUAAAUGGGAAGGGGAGAUGGGACUUGUAAAUAAAGACCAGAAGAGGGAAUUCCCUGUUGGCCCAGUGGAUGAGACUCCACACUCCCAGUGCAGGAGGACCUAUUCAACCCCUCGCUGGGGAUCUCAGGUCCCACACACCACAACCCAGCCCCAGAGCCCCAGCUGGACAGGCCACAGUGAAGACACAGGGCUGCUAAAACAAGAGACAGAGGCUAGAAGAAGAAAAACAGCUUUGAAGACAAGCCACCAGCGGACACGCCCGACAGCCAAGAGAGCGACAGACCCCAGGCGCCAGCCCGACCCUCACCCACCCUUCACUGAGCCCCAGACGCUCCCCACCUGGGCCAGAGGGGCCGUUCAGAACCAAGACGGGACCUGGCCCUGGACAGGGUACCACCUCCCCCACCAGAGACAGGAGAGCCUGCAGCCCGUGCCGCUCCUACGCAGUCUCCCCAGAAGCACCCCCUUUCCUGACCCCGCUCCUGGACAGGACACUCAGCACCCAGUCCUCCCUGCCCACUCCCCACACCUGACCCCCGGCAGGGCUGCUCUAAGUCCUCCCCGCCCAUUCCCCACCCUCGGCAGGGCUGCUCUGACCACUGCUGUCACCUCAGGCCUCCCCACCCAACAGGGCGCGCCCCUACCCCUUAUGCAGGUUCGUCUGGGUGUCCACUCUCCCCCAGACACCGGGGGUGGGUGGGUGGGGGUGGCCCCCACCCGCCCCCAGCCCCAGGGCAGGCACGGGCACCGCAGUGGUCCUGGCUGUCGGACGAGUGGAGAAUCAGCCCCCACCCCGCCAAGCGGAGAGCCCGCUGCUCGGCCGCACUUGGCAGCCAGGACCCAGCUGAGGCCCCAGAGCUCACGGGCACCUCGUGGGCAGCGGCCACACCCACGGGGAGGGCACGGGUGGCCAGCUGGGCCCCGCCAACAGGGACUGUCUCCUACAUGCCACUCAGAGAUGAUCCUGCUCACCCGCACCUGGACUUCAGCGGGAUCGGGGAACACCCUCAAGCCACCUGGAGGGGCGUCUGGAGGGACUGUGGUCCUGACUAGUCAGCCACGCCCCCAGGCCAAGGUCGACCAGUGCAGAUAA